RNAcentral lists this unclassified non-coding RNA (253 nucleotides) under uncultured Alteromonadaceae bacterium. RNAcentral's name for it is "contains 16S-23S intergenic spacer region". It matches the Rfam family "Bacterial small subunit ribosomal RNA", at positions 524 to 776 of the family's 1533-position model. Lineage: Bacteria; Pseudomonadati; Pseudomonadota; Gammaproteobacteria; Alteromonadales; Alteromonadaceae. The record is from RNAcentral.
UACAGAGGGUGCAAGCGUUAAUCGGAAUUACUGGGCGUAAAGCGCACGUAGGCGGCUUUUUAAGUCAGAUGUGAAAGCCCCGGGCUUAACCUGGGAAUUGCAUUUGAAACUGGAAAACUAGAGUGUGUGAGAGGGGGGUAGAAUUCCAAGUGUAGCGGUGAAAUGCGUAGAGAUUUGGAGGAGUACCAGUGGCGAAGGCGGCCCCCUGGCACAACACUGACGCUCAGGUGCGAAAGCGUGGGGAGCAAACAGG